Long non-coding RNA from Chelonia mydas (Green sea turtle), 965 nucleotides. RefSeq lists it as uncharacterized. The record is from RefSeq and is a predicted model, not a curated record. Lineage: Eukaryota; Metazoa; Chordata; Testudines; Cheloniidae. The transcript is spliced from 3 exons.
UGGGGAAAGAACUGGAGUGAGAGCUACAUAGGAAACUCAGUGCAGGCAAGAAAAAGGCCUGGGGGAGACCCUUAGUAACAAGGGAAGUGACUGGGAGACCUGGUGGGAUCUGAGAAGAGUGUUUGGAAGCAGCCCAGGGAAAACCGCAAGCAGAGAUAAAAGAGCAGACCUAGCCCAGAACCAAGAGUCAGGAGUGGGGCUGGGUUCCCCUACUGGCCUAAAGGAAGAGGGGGAGCAAGCCCAUAGAAAGGAUUAUUGAGCCCCCCAAAGGGGCUGUAGGCUGAGCUGUGGAAGAGCCCCAGAGAAGGUGGAAGGACUUUCCUCUGGUAAAGACGCUUUGGGACUUCUAGUUUGGGACAACUGGGACCCUCAAGAUGACGGCCUAGAUGGAGGGCUGGUUUGCCAGGCAGAGAAAUCGCCAUAGCAACCAUCAGCUCAGGGUGCUAGCCCAGCGAGAGAGCUGCGACGCCGUGCCGGCCACGAGGGGGCACCCUGUGUUUUCCAGCAAUGCCUACUGGCAAUGGAAAAAUGAAUUAGCUUGAGCUAAUUUGUUUUUCCUUCAUAUACAAGUGCAUUAACUCUUGGGAAACGACAUGCCAAAGCGGGGCUCCGAGGCUGCAGUGCAGAUGUGUGCAGCUAAAUCAAGCUUUAAAAAGACUUGGAGAGCUUGGUCAUAUCUUGCACUGAUGGGUGCAACCUUCGGGGUAGGUGGAGAGUAGAUUGGCCAGAGCACUGACAAUGUGUGAGCAGUCAUGAGAAGAUCCAUUCAGAACCGUGGUCCUGGGCUGUGGAGGUCAGAUCUGGACUUUCCCAAAACUGGGGAGUGGUUCACAGCCGGAGACUCUGCUCAUGCCCAUCUCUGCUGUAUUUGUGGAUGCCACAAUCCUCCAACCAUAGCAUCAUUGUUUCCUUAGUACCCAAUGCACUUUGAAUGACGACGCAAGACGACUUUUUUUUUUUUUUUU